Long non-coding RNA from Chelonoidis abingdonii (Abingdon island giant tortoise), 594 nucleotides. RefSeq lists it as uncharacterized. Lineage: Eukaryota; Metazoa; Chordata; Testudines; Testudinidae. The record is from RefSeq and is a predicted model, not a curated record.
UGUGUAAAGGCAGAGUUCUGAGGGAGAGAGAGGAUAUCUGGAUGGAUUGGAACAGAUGGGACCUUGGGAGGGGAAAACAGGAAUCAGCUAUAAAGCAGAGAAGUUUCAAUUUCAUGUGCUGGUGCCCACGGAUGAAGUGUGAAAGACGACAAUUUCCUGUUUUGUUUUAUUGUCCAACAGUAGAAAAACCCCAUAAUGAUGCAUGUCAGUUUUUCCCGGAAUAAUGCAAUUUCCACUCUCGCAAAAACUCAGUCUCAGGGAUGCAAGCAGUGUAUUUGCAUUUGAUUAUCUGUAGCAGACCCGGUUGCAAUCCCCAAAGGGGCACUAACACUCACAGCCUGCAUUAUUUUUGACUAAAGUUAUACAAUUGUGCGUGAAGUACACUGGUGACAGGGUCCAAAGUAAAUAUUAAGUCAACAGCUGUUUAACUAUGUGUAUCAUAUGUGGGAUGUUAACUGGCAGAAGUUCAGGUUUGUGGGAUGUGGCUUAACAUAUUUUUAUCUGUGUUGACACUCUGUAUUUUAUGCUUCAGCUCUUCUUAUUGUGGCGUUCCCCAGGACCUCUGGUUAAAGUAAUAAAAGGCAUGUAACAGUC